RNAcentral lists this long non-coding RNA (1150 nucleotides) under Homo sapiens (human). Its description in RNAcentral is "WDR35 divergent transcript (WDR35-DT)". The record is from RNAcentral. Lineage: Eukaryota; Metazoa; Chordata; Mammalia; Primates; Hominidae.
CGCCUGCGCGGACGUCGAUGGGUUUGUGGGCGCAGGGCGCGAGGCGCGAGGCGGUAGCUGGGCUAGUCCUGUUCCCUGGCGUCUGGGCCUUUCUGCUCUCCGCAAGGAGCUGGGUCGCGACCUGUCACUGCCAGCCGUGCGCUCGCCCUCUGCGCCCCGUCUCGUGGUCACUGCCGCCCUCCCUCCCGCCACACCUGUGAUGAUCGCUAUGGAGCCGCGCCUCAGGUGGCAUUACUAUAAACCUAAGAGGAGAGGCGCCCGUUCGAAUAAGGGCAAAUUAUUUAGUAUUUUGUCUUCAAUGUUCCUGGCAGCUUAAAGUACCAACUGGGACACUUGUCACUAGUUUGAGAAGUGCAGCCAUAGUGACCUCUUUUGAAAGAUGAAUCAAUGAAUUAAGUCAUUUCUGAGAAACCAAGGAGGCCUGUUGAAGGAGGCUGGCCCUCCUGUGGCAGGUAACCCAACCUCCACUGCCCUUGGCAACAGGACAAGGCUAAUAUUUUCCCAAGAAGGGCCUUUUCAUGGAAUGAUCUUUCCAACCCGUUGACUACAACAAGCUGCCGCUCAGUCUUUUUUCCAUAGAGAGGACGUUUUUCCCCCAGAACAAGCAGGUCUUUUGUACCAGAAGGAAAAGAUUGCCACUCACCACUUGUUACUUUAUAGCCUUCGAAGCCCAACCCCAGGUGCUAGCUUUGAAACCCAACUUUGCCACAGACCAGCAUGUUGAUGGAGAGGCUCUCACCCACAAGCAUGGAGUGGGAGGGUGAUUUCCUGGGAGAAAGAAAGCCACUUUCUUUUUGGAAGCCAACGAAUGCCAAGUAGAUGCCACCAAAGCCAGUGAUGGCUUGUGAAAGCCCAGUGUCCUGGGACAGGAAAGACAAGGGGAUCCCAGCCAAGUCUGACUGCAAUGAGGCCAAACGUUGCCCCAGAGCAAGACUUCAUCUCCCUUUUCCUGACAAACCAUUGAUGGCUGCGUUUCACAUUAACCUAGAUUAAAAGUCUCCUUGAAAUGUAUAAUUGUAAUUAAUUAUUGGUUCAUUUGUUUGUCUCACCCCCACCCCCAGAAUGUUACUUAAUGGUAUGGAGGGAUUACCUUUAUCUUUGUAUCAUCAGAGAUCAAUAAAUGCAUGCUGAAUAAAUAAGUGUGAAAUAA